AUGGAUAAAGCGGGACUCGCCUUUCUGGUGCUCAUACUCGUGCUCAUCUCUAUCGUGAUGAGCAUACUUGCGGUCGAGCGAGAACCGGA
RNAcentral lists this small RNA (89 nucleotides) under Sinorhizobium meliloti 2011. RNAcentral's name for it is "putative ncRNA". The record is from RNAcentral. Lineage: Bacteria; Pseudomonadati; Pseudomonadota; Alphaproteobacteria; Hyphomicrobiales; Rhizobiaceae.